Monodelphis domestica (gray short-tailed opossum) is the source of this 2581-nucleotide long non-coding RNA. RefSeq lists it as uncharacterized. Lineage: Eukaryota; Metazoa; Chordata; Mammalia; Didelphimorphia; Didelphidae. The record is from RefSeq and is a predicted model, not a curated record.
CUUGUCUGUGAGGAUAUAUAUUUAUAUAGAUAUCUAUAUCUAUCAUAGACUUCAAUCAAGAAUGGAUGGAAGAGGAUAUUGGACUAAGUCACAGAAUUUCAGGAAAAGAAGUCUGCUAACUCCUUGAACCCAGAGAAUGAAAUCUUCAAAGGAAAAUACUUGCAGAAACCUACACUGCAUCAAGAAGAUCCAGAAUGAACUUUUGGGUGCAAUCGAUUGAACAAAUGGGGAUUGAACAUUUAUUGUAAAUGUACACUUUUAUGCCAAAGGGGACUGCCCCCUAAUUUUGGCUUUUUGACAACGUGCCUAGCAAAACAUUGAUUUUGCUUUUUCUCUUUUCUAUUUCUAACUAUUGUAAUUUCCUCUUAAAAGGUGAAAUAUUGUAUACAUGUGUAGUUAGAAGUGCUUUAGGACUACAAGAUGAUUAUGUUAAAUGAUCAAUGGGGAGACUAGUCUCCCAAUGAUCAUCAGGGGGGAUUGUGAAGCUUGGAUUUAGCUAUCUCCUGAUUGUAACAAUGAAGAUACUUAGCUCUUUUCUUUAUUGUGAAGAUAAAAUUUUAAUCUCCUGAUUGUAACAACAUCCUAGCUAAAUUACUGAGCAAAUUAUUUAACCUUCAGUGAACUAGGUAAGUCUUUAGGGCUACAAAUUAUAAGAUAGAUACUGAUCUCAAAUGGUGGCAGGGGUUUCCACAUCAGAAAUUUCCUUAAUUAAUAUAAUAGAUCUGAAUCAAAUAUAUUAUAGCAUCCCCUCCCCACAAAGUGGCUACUAUUUCCACUAGUUCUCCAAAGUACCCAUUCCUAUUAUAUAGAUAGUUAACAAGCCCCCACCAAUAAUUAGCCAAUAGACACAAUCAGCUUCUUGCAAUGGGCAUCAAGAUAACAGGGUUAUAAUAGUAAAUUUAAACAUUUCCCCCAUAAGCCUUGGGUACUGUGUCCUACAAAUAUAAACAGUACUCAUGGUGGGCACAAAAUAAAGUUUACAAUUGAGCUAGGUUCUGGAGACAGGAGGUCCUGGAUUCCAAUUGGAACUCAGACACUUCAUAGCUGUGUGAUCCAGGCAAGUAACUUAUCCCUAGUUGCCUUGCUCUUCCUGCUCUUCUGCCUUGGAACAGAUACUUGUAUCAAUUCUAAGACAGAAGGUUAAGGGGUUAAAAAAAAGUACAAUAAUAGUGAGGCAUAUGUGUGACCAAGGUAACCCACAAUGCCUGGUCCUUUCUCUGGUGGUGCUUCACCAAGCUGCCCAUUUACACUAUCUAGUUCACAUACCACAGAUCAAAUGAGAGAAUAGUCCUUUGUAAACUAUAAGAUGUUAUUAGACAAAUAUAAUAUCUUCCUACACUUAAGAGUUAAAGGCGCUAUAGAAAUAUUUACAGAAUGCUUAAAAAAUUACAAAGCACUUUCCUCAAAACAACUCUUUGAAGGAGAAAGUAUUAGUACCUACUAUAUUACUCACAUACUUACUGAUAUAGGCAUUUCCCCCAAUUAUGCAGAUUACAAUCUAUCCAUAUAUAACCAAAAGUUUGCCACAAGAGGUCCACCCAUUCCUGGGAGCUUUAUUUACUCAUAACAUUGUGAAGAUACAAGUAGAGCACAUGAAUGUAGCACAAUGUAGUAGGGUUAGGGUUAGAAUUCUCUCUCUUCCUGUUCUACCAACACAUCUUCUUUUUCAAUCACACAUUCCCUUAUGACAGUCUUUACUCUGGUUCUUCUUUGAAGUUCCUGGUUUGUUAUAUGUUGCAUCAGCUUGCACCCACCAAUUGCUAUGAUGUUCAUUUUAAAUUCUUAGGACAUUGUCAUAUUCUAUGGAGUUCAUGGUAUUUCAGGUACAGCUGAAAGCUGUACAGUAUCUAUAAAACAAUAGUAUUGAAAAGAUGGCCCUUUGUUUACUAGAGAAGUUUGGAGUAAUUAAAACAGCUCUUCAAUUUCCCAAAGGCAAUCCAGUGCGCUCUCUUCCUGUUAAUUACGUGUGCAAAUUAUUAUCCAUUUGUAUUGUCUAAGACACACAAACACACUUGGGAAUAUUAAAUACAAUACAACUUUGUUUGACUAGCAUACUAUAUACAUGGUGUCCCAUAAGUCUUAAUGCAGUUUUAAGCUUCAUUCUACAAAUGAGGAAAGAGGUAGUUGAGUCACUUGACUAGAGUAAGGUAGUUACAUAUCUGGGGUCAGGAUUUUAACUUGGCCCUUUCUAACUCUAUCCAGCCCUCUAUCCACUGUGUACCUAGACAAGCCUGAUGGCUGAUGGUUGUUCAUCCAACUGCAUUUUCCUACUCUGGACAACAGAUCUCCAAUCCUCUCUGUCUCUGUCUCUGUCUCUAUGAAAUAUUCCAGAUUGAUAUAAUUAGCACAAUGCCAUGGGCAACCACAGCAUUAACAGGGCUUCCCUCUAAAAAGUAUUAUCUUCAUUUUACAAAAGUGACAUUGAAACUUAGAAACCUGGCCAUAAGGUUGGUGUUAAAUUGAAUUGUACCUCUUGACUACAUCACUGCCCUGAUGCACAAUAAGCUGAUUAUACUGGGUCCCACAGAAUUGACUUGCUCAAAAUCACAUCUGUAGUUCAAUAAACUUGCUUUUUAAUGCC